This 476-nucleotide unclassified non-coding RNA is filed under the name Hevea brasiliensis (rubber tree). The record is from RNAcentral. Lineage: Eukaryota; Viridiplantae; Streptophyta; Magnoliopsida; Malpighiales; Euphorbiaceae.
AUCUUAAUAAGGCUCUAAGCAUUGUUUGUUCUUUAGGGGUUGAUGAGACCCUACUGUUGGCUGAGGUUUACAAUAACCGCAUUAUACGAUAUUUGGAAGAACCAGCUGAUUCGUUGUCAUUAAUUAGAGAUGGUGACCGUCUCGUUGCUUAUCGGUUAAAGAAAGAGUUGGACAAUGUGCCUUUGGCUGUGUUUAUGCAUCAGCAUAUGGAGGAGCAGUACAUCCAUGGGAAACUUACUUCAAGUUGGAAAGCAUUUGGAAUUCCACUUCUAGGACCAGUCCAUAAUUUUGUCAAUGGAUCUGACAUCCAUAAUUUAUAUCUAAAGUUGCUUUCUCCAUUUCGAUUAGCUGCUGAUGAUUCCUUGGGCAGUAGUGAUACCUGUAAUAGCACCGCUGUUGAAGAUGCUACAGGAAUGGAGGAUAACAAUGAUUCUGCUUUAGGAGGAAAUGCAAAUCUCUCCAGUGUAGAAGGGGCC